CCAUACGACCGUACCGCAAACCGACACUGGUGCGCGAGAUGAGUAUUCUAAGGCGCUUGAGAGAACUCAGGAGAAGGAACUCGGCAAAUUGACACCGUAACUUCGGAAGAAGGUGUGCCCUAUUAGUGUGUAGUGAACAACGAAGCAUGAAUGGGUUGCAAAAAAUCGGUGGCUGCGACUGUUUAUUAAAAACACAGCACUCUGCAAACACGAAAGUGACGUAUAGGGUGUGACGCCUGCCCGGUGCUGGAAGAUUAAAUGAUGGGGUGCAAGCUCUUGAUUGAAGUCCCAGUAAACGGCGGCCGUAACAAUAACGGUCCUAAGGUAGCGAAAUUCCUUGUCGGGUAAGUUCCGACCUGCACGAAUGGCGUAACGAUGGCCACACUGUCUCCUCCUGAGACUCAGCGAAGUUGAAAUGUUUGUGGUGAUGCAAUCUCCCCGCGGAAAGACGGAAAGACCCCAUGAACCUUUACUGUAGCUUUGUAUUGGACUUUGAACAGAUCUGUGUAGGAUAGGUGGGAGGCUUUGAAGCAGGGUCGCUAGAUCUUGUGGAGCCAACGUUGAAAUACCACCCUGGUGUGUUUGAGGUUCUAACCUAGGUCCAUUAUCUGGAUCGGGGACAGUGCAUGGUAGGCAGUUUGACUGGGGCGGUCUCCUCCCAAAGCGUAACGGAGGAGUUCGAAGGUACGCUAGUUACGGUCGGACAUCGUGACGAUAGUGCAAUGGCAUAAGCGUGCUUAACUGCGAGACUGACAAGUCGAGCAGAUGCGAAAGCAGGACAUAGUGAUCCGGUGGUUCUGUAUGGAAGGGCCAUCGCUCAACGGAUAAAAGGUACUCUGGGGAUAACAGGCUGAUACCGCCCAAGAGUUCAUAUCGACGGCGGUGUCUGGCACCUCGAUGUCGGCUCAUCUCAUCCUGGGGCUGUAGCCGGUCCCAAGGGUAUGGCUGUUCGCCAUUUAAAGAGGUACGUGAGCUGGGUUUAAAACGUCGUGAGACAGUUUGGUCCCUAUCUUCCGUGGGCGCUGCAGAUUUGAGGAAGCCUGCUCCUAGUACGAGAGGACCGGAGUGGACACACCUCUGGUGUAUCGGUUGUCACGCCAGUGGCAUUGCCGAGUAGCUAAGUGUGGAAGAGAUAACCGCUGAAAGCAUCUAAGCGGGAAACUCGUUUCAAGAUGAGAUCUGCCGGGGCCUUGAGCCCCCUAAAGAGUCGUUCAAGACCAGGACGUUGAUAGGUCAGGUGUGGAAGCGCAGUAAUGCGUUAAGCUAACUGAUACUAAUUGCUCGUGCGGCUUGAUC
This 1296-nucleotide ribosomal RNA is filed under the name metagenome. Its description in RNAcentral is "bacterial LSU rRNA". It matches the Rfam family "Bacterial large subunit ribosomal RNA", at positions 1634 to 2925 of the family's 2925-position model. The record is from RNAcentral.